CAUUACAAGUGAGGCUACCGAACGUUGGAAACAGCGGUUAGGAGCUUACACCCACCCGUGUUUACAUACUAUUGUUGCUUUGGCGGGCCGUGGCCUCCACUGCGGGCUCUGCUCGUGUGUGCCCGCCAGAGAACCAAACUCUGAAUGUUAGUGAUGUCCGAGUACUAUCUAAUAGUUAAAACUUUCAACAACGGAUCUCUUGGUUCUGGCAUCGAUGAAGAACGCAGCGAAAUGCGAUAAGUAAUGUGAAUUGCAGAAUUCAGUGAAUCAUCGAAUCUUUGAACGCACAUUGCGCCCUGUGGUAUUCCGCAGGGCAUGCCUGUUCGAGCGUCAUUUAACCACUCACGCCUAGCGUGGUAUUGGGGCACGCGGUCUCCGCGGCCCUCAAAAUUAGUGGCGGCGCCGGUGGGCUCUAAGCGUAGUACAUACUCCCGCUAUAGAGUUCCCCCCGGUGGCUCGCCAGAACCCCAAUUUUUACAGGUUG
Molecule: ribosomal RNA, 484 nt
Filed under: uncultured fungus
Lineage: Eukaryota; Fungi
Description: eukaryotic LSU rRNA
Rfam family: 5.8S ribosomal RNA (bases 180-333)
Source: RNAcentral